UGCAGUCGAACGGUAACAGGGAGAAAGCUUGCUUUCUUGCUGACGAGUGGCGGACGGGUGAGUAAUGCUUGGGAAUCUGGCUUAUGGAGGGGGAUAACGACGGGAAACUGUCGCUAAUACCGCGUAGAGUCGAGAGACGAAAGUGCGGGACCGCAAGGCCGCAUGCCAUGAGAUGAGCCCAAGUGGGAUUAGGUAGUUGGUGGGGUAAAGGCCUACCAAGCCGACGAUCUCUAGCUGGUCUGAGAGGAUGACCAGCCACACCGGGACUGAGACACGGCCCGGACUCCUACGGGAGGCAGCAGUGGGGAAUAUUGCGCAAUGGGGGCAACCCUGACGCAGCCAUGCCGCGUGAAUGAAGAAGGCCUUCGGGUUGUAAAGUUCUUUCGGUGACGAGGAAGGUUGUUGUGUUAAUAGCGCGACAAAUUGACGUUAAUCACAGAAGAAGCACCGGCUAACUCCGUGCCAGCAGCCGCGGUAAUACGGAGGGUGCGAGCGUUAAUCGGAAUAACUGGGCGUAAAGGGCACGCAGGCGGCUAUUUAAGUGAGGUGUGAAAUCCCCGGGCUUAACCUGGGAAUUGCAUUUCAGACUGGGUAGCUAGAGUACUUUAGGGAGGGGUAGAAUUCCACGUGUAGCGGUGAAAUGCGUAGAGAUGUGGAGGAAUACCGAAGGCGAAGGCAGCCCCUUGGGAAUGUACUGACGCUCAUGUGCGAAAGCGUGGGGAGCAAACAGGAUUAGAUACCCUGGUAGUCCACGCUGUAAACGCUGUCGAUUUGGGGAUUGGGCUUUAAGCUUGGUGCCCGUAGCUAACGUGAUAAAUCGACCGC
RNAcentral lists this ribosomal RNA (825 nucleotides) under uncultured bacterium. Its description in RNAcentral is "bacterial SSU rRNA". It matches the Rfam family "Bacterial small subunit ribosomal RNA", at positions 56 to 872 of the family's 1533-position model. The record is from RNAcentral.